Astatotilapia calliptera (eastern happy) is the source of this 1620-nucleotide long non-coding RNA. Lineage: Eukaryota; Metazoa; Chordata; Actinopteri; Cichliformes; Cichlidae. The record is from Ensembl.
AUGUCUUUCUGUCGUAGACUUUGUGUAAACAGUGUUGUCUUUAUAGUGAACUGUUUGUAAAGGUUUCAUAUUUGUAUUUUGUGAAAACAUGUUAUUUGUGUGUAAGUAUUUAAGUUAUUUGGUUACGUGUUUCACUUACAAAAAUGUUUCCAGCUGUUUUAGUGAUGCAAAUGAUGAACACGCCCAAUUAUAUCGUGAAUGUACAGGAGCUAGACAAAAUACUGUGAACGCAGAAAGGAAAGCGCGUUGUAACUCUCACCAAAUUCAGAAAUCCAUCAUUUUGCACUGCAGGGGUCUGAUCACAUUUACAAAUUACUAUAUUUAGAUACUGUCCCCAUAUUUGAAAACUGUUUGUCUUGGAUUUCCUCUGUUUUUCCUGAGGUUUUUCACCUAUACAGUUCAUCUGACUGACAUGGCUGCAGUUUGGGAGGAGCAUUUUAACUGUUUUUUUUUUUCCCUCAUAUUGAUAAUUCACAUGCAACAUUGUUGAUUGUUCAGUAUCUUUUAUACCCAGACGAAAGCAAAUUUUACAAGAUGUCAGUCACCACAUUGGACCUACUAUAAAUCUGUUACAGUGUAAUUAUUUGCAGAGAGCCUUUCCACUCUCCUCUGCUUGUAGUUUCUUAUUUUCUCCACAUUUUGCUGUGCUCAGGAGGUUUCUGGGCUUCAGCCCUCCAGCAGUGGGUGUUUAACUCCCAGCCAAUAAAAGUUUUCUGGCUUUGAGGGUGGGGAAACGUGGUGACAACAUUACACGCCUCCGUCUCACUCCUCUGCUCUCUGUCUGUGUUGUGAAUGUCUGUACAUCUGUUCCUCCAGAGGCACAUAGUUAAAGCAGAGUGGCCAACUGGCAAUGCUGCACCUUGCUGUAAAGGUGUGGCUGUGUUUGUUGUCUAUAGGGUGACCGCAGUGAAAUAAUCAGAAAAUGUUGUUUCAUCUCCCUCGUGUCAUUCACCCCCCCUUUUUUUUUUUUUUUUUUUUUUUUUUUUUUUUUUUUUUGAGGAGGCAAAAGUGGGGAAAAGCUGGAUGUAACAUCUGUAAUUAGCAUAAAGUGUAUACGAUACUGUCGCCUUUUACUGUAGUUUUCAUUGCAAUAGAAUUUUUUUUUUUUUUAAGGAACUUUAUUUUUGCUAAUCCAUAUAAAUGGCUACUAAGCAGAUGUUCUGCCGGUAUUGUGCAUAUAUUCUGAUUUGUCAUCAAAGUGAACCAAGUUUGUUGCCUUCCUGAAAUCUUUGUAAUUGAAAUGGUAGACUUCAUGUUCAGGCAUGUGAAGUUUAUUUAACACUGGGCUUGAUAAAAGGCCUCCAUUCUUUUCUUUUCUUUUUUCUUCUUCGGGGAAUAUUUCGACAUGCAUGACCUCUGAACAAAGUAUUGUAUUCAGAGAGAAUGGUGUUAUUCCAAAGGGACAGAGGUUUAUUUGGAGAAUUUUUCCACAUCCUGUUUUUCUUCACAAACAACACUACCACCCAUAAAAUGUCUCUGUGACUGUUGCAAUAAAACUAAUUCAUGAAGUUAUGUUCAACAAAACAGUGCAUUUGGGCUAAAUGUUGUUAGACUAUAAAUGAUUACAUUUUUCGACAAAGCACCUAAGAUCUUGUAAGAUUUGGUGUACACAAGAUGAAU